GCUCCCCCUCGUCCUCAGUGCGGGCCGAGCAUCUCGAGGCAGCCCGUGAAGGCGUUUCAGCAAGUUGUCGGCAUGUCCCUGGCUCGUUAGGGUAACACGAUUCCGUUGUGAGAACGCUGCGUUCAGACUUAGUAAUUCAGACUUGCUGGCUCCCAGUUGUCCUGAGUUCUCGCAUCAAUCGUUGGGCAUUUUUGAGAACCCACCGGUAGCAAGGCGCUCCUACUGCGGAGGGACAAACUGGCAAGAAAAACCCAGAACAAACCCUGCCCCGCAAUCCCCCUCCAGAACAGAACCCGCAGUGCGUGGCCUCGUGUGGCUAAAAGUUUGGUGGCAUCAAAGAACCACACAGCAGUGCAGACUCCCAGUGGGAGAUGCCCGGACGAAGGCCGCAUGGUGUUCUGAGAGCCUCGGAGAGGAACCUGCCCAGGAGAUGCUGUUUGGUCGCAUGGAACUGUGAGUUCUCAGCCGUGGAAGGAGGGAAAUUCCUUUCAACACUAGCCCCGAGGAAUUCUCGUGAUCCUGGUUCCAUUCUGGUCAAAAUGAAGAUGAAAGGACUCGACCCAGCGUGGAGAGGAACUCUGCCAGGAGAAGGUGACAGCGGUGCUGGCCUGAGAAUCUGCCCAUCAGAAGGGGAGCCCUUCCUAGAAAGUCUCUAAGAAGCGAAAGAGACCUUUGGCCUGAGAAAGGUCAGAAUGAUCAAGGGAGAGACAGUAUGCUGGCGUGCAAAGAUUUAGUUAACAUUUUUAAAGUAGAUUUUAUAGACUUAGUAGCAACAAUUAUAUAGAUUUGUUCGGGGUAAAUUUUGUAGGCUUUGUAGCUAAAUAACUAUGGGAUUGUGGGGGAUGUUAUUAAGAACUUCAAGCCUCAGUUUUCUAGUCUCUCAAUGGGGAGAAUAGUAUCUCUCAGCCAAAUAGCUGUGUUGGUGAGAGGCGAUACUGUACUAAUAUUUGUAGUAAAUAACAAAUGGAAAAUAGUAGUUUGUAAGUUAACGAGAUACUAGAUUUUGUGGAUGGAAACAAUAUCUUUUUUAUUUCAUGCCAUUUUCUGUACAAUUCCUGAUAAUGAUAGUUGUCUGUGGAGAAAGUAGAAUCAAAUAGAACCAUUGUGAGAUGUUUUGAUAUGACCUAAAAUGUCAGAGAGAGCCAAAUACGUCCUGGGGAAAACUAAGUUUCUCAUUUUUAUUUUCUCUGAAACACAAUUUCUUGAAAGACAAAGAAUUUGGCAAAGAUGUAUUGUGAGUGGUAAUUCAUAUACUAAUGGAAAUUAUCCUUUGCCUAUUUCAAUAAUUGACCUACUGUGUAGUUGUCAAAAUGGUAGGGUAUAUAUGAUAGGCAAAAAGAUUCCAAUGGGCUUAAUCAGAGAAUGUCAAAUUUAUAAAAAAGCAAAAGAUUCAGAAACUUCUGGAAUCAGUUAUAGAAAGGAAGAAGUAACUGUUUUGAAGACUGGAUCCCUGGACUUCUGCCCACCAGGUGCAGUUUCACUUGCAAACCCCUGUACCUUCUGAGAUGAUUGGACGUCUCCCAGCAAGCCCAAACUUCUUGAUUUGUAAGAAUUACAAACUUUUUAAUUUGUAAAAAUUCUUGUUAACCGUGUAAGCUCAUU
This is a non-coding RNA of Microcebus murinus (gray mouse lemur), 1602 nucleotides long. Lineage: Eukaryota; Metazoa; Chordata; Mammalia; Primates; Cheirogaleidae. The record is from RefSeq and is a predicted model, not a curated record.